RNAcentral lists this ribosomal RNA (491 nucleotides) under uncultured bacterium. RNAcentral's name for it is "partial 16S ribosomal RNA". It matches the Rfam family "Bacterial small subunit ribosomal RNA", at positions 29 to 507 of the family's 1533-position model. The record is from RNAcentral.
AGUGAACGCUGGCGGUAGGCCUAACACAUGCAAGUCGAACGGCAGCACAGUAAGAGCUUGCUCUUACGGGUGGCGAGUGGCGGACGGGUGAGGAAUACAUCGGAAUCUACUUUUUCGUGGGGAUAACGUAGGGAAACUUACGCUAAUACCGCAUACGACCUACGGGUGAAAGCAGGGGAUCUUCGGACCUUGCGCGAUUGAAUGAGCCGAUGUCGGAUUAGCUAGUUGGCGGGGUAAAGGCCCACCAAGGCGACGAUCCGUAGCUGGUCUGAGAGGAUGAUCAGCCACACUGGAACUGAGACACGGUCCAGACUCCUACGGGAGGCAGCAGUGGGGAAUAUUCGGCAAUGGGCGCAAGCCUGAUCCAGCCAUACCGCGUGGGUGAAGAAGGCCUUCGGGUUGUAAAGCCCUUUUGUUGGGAAAGAAAAGCAGCAGGUUAAUACCCCGCUGUUCUGACGGUACCCAAAGAAUAAGCACCGGCUAACUUCGUG